GGAAGCGUGCCUGAACAAAAGGACCACUGUGAUAAAGUGAACAUAGAGGUAAAACAGUCCUCUCGCCUCCU
RNAcentral lists this transfer RNA (71 nucleotides) under Coturnix pectoralis (stubble quail). RNAcentral describes it as "tRNA-Ile". Lineage: Eukaryota; Metazoa; Chordata; Aves; Galliformes; Phasianidae. The record is from RNAcentral.